CUGCGAACGGCUCAUUAAAUCAGUUAUCGUUUAUUUGAUAGUACCUUACUACUUGGAUAACCGUGGUAAUUCUAGAGCUAAUACAUGCUAAAAAUCCUGACCUCUGGAAGGGAUGUAUUUAUUAGAUAAAAAACCAAUGCUCAUUUUUGGGCUUCCUGGUGAUUCAUGAUAACUUUACGAAUCGCAUGGCCUUGUGCCGGCGAUGGUUCAUUCAAAUUUCUGCCCUAUCAACUUUCGAUGGUAGGAUAGUGGCCUACCAUGGUUUCAACGGGUAACGGGGAAUUAGGGUUCGAUUCCGGAGAGGGAGCCUGAGAAACGGCUACCACAUCCAAGGAAGGCAGCAGGCGCGCAAAUUACCCAAUCCCGACACGGGGAGGUAGUGACAAUAAAUACUGAUACAGGGCCUUUUUGGGUCUUGUAAUUGGAAUGAGUACAAUUUAAAUCCUUUAACGAGGAACAAUUGGAGGGCAAGUCUGGUGCCAGCAGCCGCGGUAAUUCCAGCUCCAAUAGCGUAUAUUAAAGUUGUUGCAGUUAAAAAGCUCGUAGUUGAACCUUGGGUCUGGGUGACCGGUCUGCGUCACCGCAUGUUACUGGAACCCCGGAUCUUUCCUUCUGGAGAACCGCAUGCCCUUUACUGGGUGUGCUGGGAAACCAGGACUUUUACUUUGAAAAAAUUAGAGUGUUCAAAGCAGGCAUGUGCUCGAAUACAUUAGCAUGGAAUAAUAGAAUAGGACGUGCGGUCCUAUUUUGUUGGUUUCUAGGACCGCCGUAAUGAUUAAUAGGGAUAGUCGGGGGCAUCCGUAUUC
Molecule: ribosomal RNA, 806 nt
Filed under: Octospora conidiophora
Lineage: Eukaryota; Fungi; Ascomycota; Pezizomycetes; Pezizales; Pyronemataceae
Description: SSU rRNA
Rfam family: Eukaryotic small subunit ribosomal RNA
Source: RNAcentral